AGGAUGAACGCUGGCGGCGUGCCUAAUACAUGCAAGUCGAGCGGUAAGGUCCCUUCGGGGAUACACGAGCGGCGGACGGCUGAGUAACACGUAGGAACGUACCCCAAAGUGAGGGAUAAGCACCAGAAAUGGUGUCUAAUACCGCAUGUGAUCUUCGGAUUAAAGCUCCGGCGCUUUGGGAACGGCCUGCGCAUGAUUAGCUUGUUGGUGAGGUAAUGGCUCACCAAGGCGAUGAUCAUUAGCUGGUCUGAGAGGAUGACCAGCCAGACUGGAACUGAGAACGGUCCAGACUCCUACGGGAGGCAGCAGUAGGGAAUUUUCCACAAUGGACGAAAGUCUGAUGGAGCAACGCCGCGUGCAGGAUGAAGGCUCUAGGGUCGUAAACUGCUUUUAUAUGUGACGAUUAUGACGGUAGCAUAUGAAUAAGGAUCGGCUAACUCCGUGCCAGCAGCCGCGGU
This 458-nucleotide ribosomal RNA is filed under the name uncultured bacterium. Its description in RNAcentral is "SSU rRNA". It matches the Rfam family "Bacterial small subunit ribosomal RNA", at positions 26 to 521 of the family's 1533-position model. The record is from RNAcentral.